CUGGGCACAGCUGGGCACGGAAGCGUGGGGCGGCGGCGAGUCCCCGCUCGUCGCGUCCGCCCCCGGCUGGGGCCUCGGUUCCUGCCCCUACGGAAAUGCCGCCCGUGGCACCACCCAUCUCUCGCUCGGUUUGCCGGCCUGUGCAAUGGGUCGAGGCCGUGCGCCACCGGACCCAGAAAAGGGCGUUUCUUCAGCACGCACUGUCAAGCGCCUCCUGCGUGCAGGGAGCGCGAGUGGAGGGCGCCGGCCCGGGGCUAGAAAGCCAGCACUUGCUGGACACUUUGAAUCGUACUCCUGGGCUGAGGCCCAUUCCCACUGGGCUAGCUUCUCGAGCCCUACCUCGUGCGGAGGUCAGGAGGACCCUGCGUACACCUACUGUGUGCCAGCUGCCGUUGAGCGUCCCGGGGAGGAGAAACGUCGAGCCAGAUCCCCAGGACCUCUUGUUCUCCCGAGGGAGAAGACAGUAAACUGAGGAGAAUGACCCUAAGCGUCGCUAUAAGAUUUGGGUCUCUCUGGCUCCACGCAAGGAAUGGACCCAGUGACCGUGCAGAGGCAGGACACCAGGGACAGGUGCUGAAAUAGCCCAGGGUCCCAGCCUUGACCUCCGCGAACCCAUUCGAUCAUCACAACAUCGCAGAAAGAUGAGAACUGUUAUCACAUCUAUUCAUGGAUGGGGAAACUGAGGCCCAUCGAGGUGAAAUCACUUGCCUGGGAUCACACAGGAGGCAAGCUGCAAAGGCAGGAUUUGACCCCAGGCAGUCAAGUCCAAGGCUCGUGCUUUUAACCACUCUACUGUCUCAUGAGGAGCUCACCACUGACGGUACACAGACCCUCUCAACCACCUGCUGAGGUGCGAACUAAGAUCAUCCUCCCUUAACAGCGGACAAACCUGAGGCUCAGAGAGGCAGCCGCUGACCCCAGGUCCCACAGCCAGGAGGAGGAAGAGCCAAGGUUCAAGUCAAGAUGUGUUUGGUUCCAGAACCAAGCUUGGCCUCACCGGGCCAGCGCUCCCCAGGUGAUUCUGAUUAAGUGGCCAGGUGGAGAACCCCUGAGCGGGGCAGUGAGUUCUGGGAAGAGUGUGCUGGCUUUGGGGCCAGCCGACGCCUGCACCGCCUUGUGGCCUGCCUCCUCAUCUCUGACACGGAGGGGGUAGCACUCCCUGCCCCGCCCCCCGGGUUUCAGGAGGGGGACACUCCUGCAAAUCCCACAGGUACCAGCAGCGGCCACGCUGUUAGUCCCCGGACUGAGGGCCGGGGGCCACCCUGCUCCUUCUCCCAGCUCCCCGGGGGAGAGACAAGUCCCCGGCUUCCUAGCACAGAGCUUGAGAUGCGCUGCAGAAGACCCCUCGGGGACAGUCGGAGGCCACAGCGUGCGGGUGCAGAGCCAGAAACCCGUCCCGCACAAACACGCGUGUCCACAGGUAUGCGACACCGCUGACCCCUGCCGUGCAGCUCACGACAGCGAAAGCCAGGAAACAAGCCUGAUAACGGUAACAGCUGAUGUGUGUUUACAGCAGGAUUUCUCAACUCAGAACUAUUGACACUGGGACCGGAUCACUCUUUGCGGCGGCGGGAGUCUGACCCGCGCGCGCAUUGUAGACUGUUAGCAUCCCUGGGAUCGGUAGCACAGCCCCCCGUCCCGGUUGCCACGUGUCCCCUGGGGGGCGAAACCCCUCCCCUGGCUGAGAAGCUGGGCUCCACAGCUGGCUCUGUGCAGGGCCCUGGUGCACACACUUCAGGGAAGCCGCCUCCUCCUGCAGCCCCUCCCAGCUGGAGACAGUUUCACUGUGCAGAGCAGGCAGAACUGAAAAGGACCACUGGUGUCACCCUGGCAGUUUACCCAGCUCUGCAAGGGAUGCGUCAGAGCCGGGGGCCCACGUCUAUCAGAACGCAAGCCUGGUUCUCGCCCCUCGGCCCGUUACCCACAAGUCCACCUGGAUGUCAUUACCUGAUGCCUGCUGUGUACCAGCACUCCACUGGGUGUGGGGGACCCAGGCAUGCCCGGCCCUGUCUCCUGGAACUCACGACACAGGGGGAAGGCAGAGGGUCAUCAGAUCAGUACACAAAUACAUCAUCACCAACGUGGGUCAGCGCUAAGAAGAAAAGAUGCCUGGUGCCCAGACGUCAAGGAAUAGAAGAAGCCUGCGAGGGUAGACUCCAGAAUGUCGAAGGAGUCGUAAGAUUUCAGCACCGUUGAGGGACAUUUGAAAUUGGCAACCCACGGAUUCACGGAGCAAGUCUUUUCUGAGCACCUACCGUGUACCAGACCCCGUCCUUGGUGCCGAGGUCCAGCAGAGGAGCACGAGCCCCUCCUGGGUCGUCAGGAGCUAACACUCUAGUGGGGGAAAGUGGACCAUAAACAAGAAAGAAGACCAGGGUCAUUUCAGACGGUGGCAAAUGUGGCUGUGAGGAGGUGGAAGGGCUGUUACAGAGAGGUGUCCGAGAGGGGCUUUCUGAGGAGGUGAAGCCUGAAGGGUGACAAGGAACCAGCCUUGGGAAGAGGCAGAGUGAAAGGUUCUAGGUAGAGGCAACAGUGUGUGCAAAGGCCCUGAGGCAGGCGUUUGCAUGGACCGUUGAGGCACAGCAGGGAGGCCUGUGGCUGGAGCCAGGUGAGGGCGCAGGAGAGGAAAAGGAGAUGAGGUAGAAGAUGUGUCAGGGCUUUGCAUGUACUUGGGGGGCGGGGGGGGGUGUCAAGGGGGUAUCUUGAGCAGAAGGGACACAGGUUAGGUUCUAACAGGAUCCCUUUAGAGGCAGUGGUCAGCUGAAUGAUGUCCCCCAAAGCUGCCCACAUCUUAAUCCCCCAAACCUGUGAAUGUUAACUUUCUUAGGCAAAAAGGAAUUUCACAGCUGUGACUUAGUUACGGAGCUUGAGGUGGGAGAUUGCCCUGGAUUAUCUGAGUGUGCUCAGUAGAAUCAGAGGAGUCCUUGUAAGAUGGAAGCUG
Molecule: long non-coding RNA, 2941 nt
Organism: Herpailurus yagouaroundi (jaguarundi)
Lineage: Eukaryota; Metazoa; Chordata; Mammalia; Carnivora; Felidae
Exons: 8
Source: RefSeq, a predicted model, not a curated record